RNAcentral lists this ribosomal RNA (497 nucleotides) under uncultured bacterium. RNAcentral describes it as "partial 16S ribosomal RNA". It matches the Rfam family "Bacterial small subunit ribosomal RNA", at positions 28 to 507 of the family's 1533-position model. The record is from RNAcentral.
GAUGAACGCUGGCGGCGUGCCUAAUACAUGCAAGUCGAGCGAACGGACGAGAAGCUUGCUUCUCUGAUGUUAGCGGCGGACGGGUGAGUAACACGUGGAUAACCUACCUAUAAGACUGGGAUAACUUCGGGAAACCGGAGCUAAUACCGGAUAAUAUUUUGAACCGCAUGGUUCAAAAGUGAAAGACGGUCUUGCUGUCACUUAUAGAUGGAUCCGCGCUGCAUUAGCUAGUUGGUAAGGUAACGGCUUACCAAGGCAACGAUGCAUAGCCGACCUGAGAGGGUGAUCGGCCACACUGGAACUGAGACACGGUCCAGACUCCUACGGGAGGCAGCAGUAGGGAAUCUUCCGCAAAGGGCGAAAGCCUGACGGAGCAACGCCGCGGGAGUGAUGAAGGUCUUCGGAUCGUAAAACUCUGUUAUUAGGGAAGAACAUAUGUGUAAGUAACUGUGCACAUCUUGACGGUACCUAAUCAGAAAGCCACGGCUAACUACGUG